Molecule: long non-coding RNA, 1284 nt
Organism: Oreochromis niloticus (Nile tilapia)
Lineage: Eukaryota; Metazoa; Chordata; Actinopteri; Cichliformes; Cichlidae
Exons: 2
Source: RefSeq, a predicted model, not a curated record
ACGCGCCCCGACAUUCAACAGGAAGCUGGUAAAAGCGCCUGCUUUCAGUUUGCUUCUCGUACGCUGAUUUAUGAAAUGAGUGUUUUUAUUGAAGUCGAUUCAAAUGUGUUUUACAACCUAUAAGCUGCUGCUAAGUAUGAUUUUCCCUGUAAACAGUAAAUCUUUUAUGUUGGUAUAACAACAGCUGAUCUAAUUUAGUCUGAUUGUUGUGUCACUUCCUGUAAUUACAUAAACACAGUGAGCCGUAAACCACCGAGUACGCUAAUACGUCCGCUUUAAUUUCACUGCAUCUUCCUCUCAGCCGGCCCCUAUAAUUACAAACCACUGUAAACCGUCUGACUGUGCUAAUAACAGCUAACACGCUAACACGCCGUCCUGAGAGUCCCACGGCGUGAUCGCUUCACCGUCCGUCUGGAAAUUGGAGCUUCUUCCUGCUGCUGGCUGGCUGGCUGGCUGGAGUGUGUGUAUGAAAACUAAAAAGGAAAAAGAGCAUCGGUGGAGUUUGCAAAGAUAAGAGAAAAAAACCUACACAGAAAAAUCCAAGAUUUAAAAGUAAAUUAAAAACUAAAAACAAAAAUCAGUGCAUACAUCAUGAAUGCUCUGCAGCUCUGGGUGCUGAAGCCUGAGGCCUGACCCUCCAGAGGAAGCUCGUAUCCUCAAUCUACUUCAGUUGGUCACUGCUACAGCUCGUGAGGAACGUCGAUCAGUCAGUAAAUCAACAGCCUCGCCUUCACGCUCAGGUCUCUCUUGAAGGGCCAGCACAGUGCUCGCAUCACCACAGAUGCUACACCCAUCUAUCAACCUCCUACUCCAGGAUCCAGGAUCCGGUACUCGUGAACAAAAGUCCGAGGUAUGCCCACUCCUCUGUUUGGUUCAGGAGCCCAUUCCCAACAUGACGCUAGAACUGUGUGACUGUGAGAUCACCGCUGGACGAAGCCAAAAGGACAAGUUUGCCUUUUGUGGUUUAAAACUGUUGUGUUUUUUACCCAUAAACGAGCCGGCUGUAGGUCAGUAGGUCAUUCGCUAACCUGGAUUUUGGUGGUUUGAACUCCAAAGUGUCCUUCACAACGAUACUGGAUCUUAAAAUGGUCCCAGUGUAUUCUCAAGAUGAGAGUUAAAACUGAAGACUAAUAAAACAAAAUUGAAAUUGUUUAAACAAUAAUGGUAAAUUAUGUUGAUGUAUAUCAUAAUCGUUUGACAGAAGAUAAAAUCUCUCUACUCUGUUUACCGCUGCAAUCAUUUAGCCGGGGUUAGCCAAUCAGCUGCCAGCAUUUUCAUAAUAAA